CCGGUCGCACCUCCCAUGCCUCCACGCUCUGUCAGUCCCUGCAUUGGCUUCCAGUUAGAUAUAGGGCCCAAUUCAAAUUUCUGGCGCUUGCUUACAAAUUCCUACAUAAUGCUGCUCCAACAUACCUAUCCUCCCUCAUACACAAGUAUGUCCCGUCGAGACCCCUGCGCUCAGACCAAGACCUACACCUAUCCUCUGCCCGGAUCCCCACCUCUGAUGCUCGCCUUUAGGCUUCUCCAG
This is a non-coding RNA of Pelobates cultripes (western spadefoot toad), 240 nucleotides long. Lineage: Eukaryota; Metazoa; Chordata; Amphibia; Anura; Pelobatidae. The record is from the annotation of a GenBank genome assembly.